RNAcentral lists this ribosomal RNA (342 nucleotides) under Triticum aestivum (bread wheat). Its description in RNAcentral is "partial small subunit ribosomal RNA". The record is from RNAcentral. Lineage: Eukaryota; Viridiplantae; Streptophyta; Magnoliopsida; Poales; Poaceae.
AUGAUGUGUUCAUUACCAUUUGUGUCAUCCCCUGUAUGGUACUUAAGCUAUUCCUCUGAAUCUGCUGAAAAUUGUCUCACCCUCGAGAUCUUCAAUAAAAGAAAUCAACAUUUUGGUGAUUUAAAGUUCUUUUUUAUAUGUGAUGGUCCUAGCAUUCCAAAAAAAUAUCAGAAAUAUUCUGAACAUAAUCUAACGACAGUGGAAAAAGUAAUAUACACAUGUAAUAUUCAUCUUCACUUAUUACCUGGGUUCACUGGAUAUGACUACCUCAACAUCUGCACAUGUUUCUUUUCCCUGCAGCUAAGGAGCAAAAAUGAUAUUCAUUUUCUUCAGAUGUCUUGA